UAUUUAGAAAGUUACUAAUCUAUGAUCAAUUUACAUAAUAGCCUACAACUUAGAUCAUCAAAGUCAUUUUUGAGUUAGUUAUGACUAGCUAAUAAUGGCUUAUCGUAAUAUGUAUUUGGAGUGGCGUUAAUCGCACUAAUGGGGCGAAGAUCAAUGUAUACUAUAAAAUUUACGCAAUCAUAAAAUACUGAACAUGACAAAACUAAAGAAUCGGAAGAUGUCAAAGGGAAAACUUUUACAAGGAAAAUUUUAAUAAGAAAGAUAAAGAAGACAAAAAAUUUGAUAAUAACAAUAAUAAUUAUGCAGAAAAGUUAACAAUGACGAAGAAUGAUUAAAGUAAUUUUAGUUUCAAGUAUGUAUCAAGUGAAUCAUAAUGGAAUUACCUCGCACAGAUCAUCGUUUCCAUUGACCACAGUCACUUUGUCCGCGCCUCUAAUUAUUAUUAUCAGCUUUUAACAUGGCGUCUUUAUAGUUGAAUUUUCAUCAACGCUGCUCUAGAGGAAGAUAUCGAUGAA
This is a long non-coding RNA of Bombus pascuorum, 515 nucleotides long. RefSeq lists it as uncharacterized. The transcript is spliced from 2 exons. Lineage: Eukaryota; Metazoa; Arthropoda; Insecta; Hymenoptera; Apidae. The record is from RefSeq and is a predicted model, not a curated record.